GACAGAGGGUGCAAACGUUGUUCGGAAUUACUGGGCGUAAAGCGUGUGUAGGCGGUCCGAUAAGUCGGGUGUGAAAGCCCUGGGCUCAACCCAGGAAGUGCACUCGAAACUGCCGGGCUAGAGUAUCGGAGAGGUUGGUGGAAUUCUCGGUGUAGAGGUGAAAUUCGUAGAUAUCGAGAGGAACACCGGUGGCGAAGGCGGCCAACUGGACGAAUACUGACGCUGAGACACGAAAGCGUGGGGAGCAAACAGG
RNAcentral lists this ribosomal RNA (253 nucleotides) under uncultured bacterium. RNAcentral describes it as "partial 16S ribosomal RNA". It matches the Rfam family "Bacterial small subunit ribosomal RNA", at positions 524 to 776 of the family's 1533-position model. The record is from RNAcentral.